This is a non-coding RNA of Pelobates cultripes (western spadefoot toad), 423 nucleotides long. The record is from the annotation of a GenBank genome assembly. NCBI's taxonomy places the organism in Eukaryota, Metazoa, Chordata, Amphibia, Anura, Pelobatidae.
CUUUGCUUUUCAGUGCGCAGUGACCGACUUCAGAAACUUCAUGAGGCACCAUGUGAACCUAUAGGUAAGUGCCCUUCAAGUCCAACCUUGUAGAUCCCCUAAGAGAUGGAUACCUUCCUUCUUGAGUUGUCGGUACGCCCCAAAACCAUUGGGUUGGCAUAGGUUGAUGACUGGGUGAUAGUCUCCUAUCUUCUUCCUUACUACCAAACCGUUGCUGAGAUAAAUGGUUCUCCAAACGAUAGUCUGUCUGCCUGAGGUCCUCGCUCUUUCGUCCCUAACUUCAAUAGUUUGAAAUCCAUCUUUAAUCGGGCUGCUUUGCGGCGUUCUGUGCACCUGUCUGCCUUGCGUUCCCCAACUUACAUAUUGCCCUUUGCACCCAUUCCCUCACAUCGUGAGCUUCUAGAGGUGAGUCUUGUGUGGGGU